ACGGCUCAGCAAAGGAAAACCAGAGAUAAAAGAGGCACUUGUAUGAAGGGAUAAGACACAAAGCAAGGGCUCUGCAGUUUCUACUUUUGCCUUUCCAGCGUGAAAGAAGAUGCGAAUCACAACUUUAAAAAGAGCUGAGGGCAGCUUCAGAUGACAGAGCCUCCUCUGGGUUCUGGAAGAUGUGGAUUUGAUGCCCACCGCUGAGGGGUGACAGGACUCUUCAGUUACUGUUGGAUUUUGAUAGCAGCAAUUAUCUCAGCAUCCACUGAGAUAAAAAUCUUCCCAAUUAUGACAAUGGAUGACUGUUGAAAGGGAAGCAGAUGGUGGGCUGAAAUAUACUGAUCCUGACCUAUGGAGGAUAACGCCUUAGUUUUAUUUUGGACUUGUUUCUCCUUUUGGCCAAAUGACAAAUUAACACUGCAUGGGAAAAGAAUGCUGGAAAUGUAACUUGGAGGCUAGACAGGCUUUUUUGUCUUGCAUGUUGGGUUCCGGUCUUUACCUCCCCCCAAAGAGCAUUUUCAUGGAAAAGAUGGUUCCAGGAUUUGCUGUGGCCUCUUCCACAAGAGAAAGCAGGGGAGAGAGAAACCUUGAAAAUUUAAAUUAGAAAAGAACUGAAGUUGUUCACAGCAAGCGGACCAAGGAGAAUAUGAAGUACAUGAGGCUUAGAUAUGAGCCUUAUUUGCCUAAAACUGCAAGGAAGGGUGAGGACAUCUGUGACAAGAAAAGCAGAGUGGCAGUGCUAACAGCUACUGGGGAAAAAUGCAGUUGAGUUUCCCCAGAAUGACAGCUAGACAUUUCCUAGGUCUAACAGUGCUGAGAGCUACAGUGAAAAUGGAAGCAUAGUGAGGCAGGGAAGUUGAUCUGGACAUGUCUUUAAUCAUGGUUGUACCUCAUAACUGUAUGAUACUUGAUAGGCAACAGAGUUCUCAAAGUGAAUCAUCCUGAACAUUAGGGUAAAUCAGCUAUUAUCAUUAUCCCUGUUUUAUAGGCUAGGAACCUGUGGCCAAGAGAGGUCAAGUAGUAAGAGAGCUCUUAAAUGCAUGAGCCAGAACUGGGAUGGAGAGGUUUGAGCCUAGAGUCAGUAUUCUUCCCACUGCUCUGAGCUACUUUGCCCUUCAUCCCCUUCAUGACAAAAGAUGCAGAAAGGCCUAUUGCUGGGACUUAUUUAUUCCACAAAUUCUACCGUAAUAGGCACCUACUAAUGCAAUAUUUAUUGCACAAUCAUGUGUGUAGAGCAAUCAGAGGACGUGAGGUGUGUGGAGGGUCUUGUAGCUUCUCUAGUCUAGGCCAGCCUUCUCAUACCACAGAGGAGAACAGAAGGCCCAGAAGGUACAACUCAGCUGUACAACUUGGACUCAGUUUAGAGCUUUAUCUUCUAAGCCCCACUGUCUAGUCCAAGAAGGCCCUCCCUUCUUUAUGCUGGGCUCUCUUCACGAGAGAGUGAAUGAUCUCUGUCAAGUGUUGCAAAGAAAAACAUUGCCUUGCAAGUUCUUUUUCUUAAGUGAAAAACUCUACUUCCAUUUCUUUUGAUGGCUAAAUGAAUUGAAAAAUAAAACGCUCUUGCGUAUUUUCGCCAGUGAAAGCAAAUAUAAAAUAAGCAUCCCUGGUGUC
Molecule: long non-coding RNA, 1611 nt
Organism: Hippopotamus amphibius kiboko
Lineage: Eukaryota; Metazoa; Chordata; Mammalia; Artiodactyla; Hippopotamidae
Exons: 3
Source: RefSeq, a predicted model, not a curated record